Molecule: ribosomal RNA, 299 nt
Filed under: Laribacter hongkongensis
Lineage: Bacteria; Pseudomonadati; Pseudomonadota; Betaproteobacteria; Neisseriales; Aquaspirillaceae
Description: partial 23S ribosomal RNA
Rfam family: Bacterial large subunit ribosomal RNA
Source: RNAcentral
AAACCGGAUGCAUACAAACAGUGGGAGCCUGGAAACGGGUGACUGCGUACCUUUUGUAUAAUGGGUCAGCGACUUACAUUCAGUAGCGAGCUUAACCAGAUAGGGGAGGCGUAGCGAAAGCGAGUCCGAACAGGGCGUUGAGUUGCUGGAUGUAGACCCGAAACCGGAUGAUCUAUCCAUGGCCAGGAUGAAGGUGCGGUAACACGCACUGGAGGUCCGAACCCACGUCUGUUGCAAAAGACGGGGAUGAGCUGUGGAUAGGGGUGAAAGGCUAAACAAAUCCGGAAAUAGCUGGUUCU